This 106-nucleotide small RNA is filed under the name Marmota monax (woodchuck). The record is from RNAcentral. Lineage: Eukaryota; Metazoa; Chordata; Mammalia; Rodentia; Sciuridae.
GCCAGCAUGGUGACGUAUGCCUGUAAUCCCAGUGAGUAAGGAGGCUGAGGCAGGAGGAUCACAAGUUCCAGGCCAGCCUCAGCAACUUAGUGAGACCCUGCUUCAG